CAGUCGCCGCGGUAAUACAGAGGGUGCGAGCGUUAAUCGGAUUUACUGGGCGUAAAGCGUGCGUAGGCGGCUUCUUAAGUCGGAUGUGAAAUCCCUGAGCUUAACUUAGGAAUUGCAUUCGAUACUGGGAAGCUAGAGUAUGGGAGAGGAUGGUAGAAUUCCAGGUGUAGCGGUGAAAUGCGUAGAGAUCUGGAGGAAUACCGAUGGCGAAGGCAGCCAUCUGGCCUAAUACUGACGCUGAGGUACGAAAGCAUGGGGAGCAAACAGGAUUAGAUACCCGAGCAGUCCCUGUCUCUUAUAC
This 301-nucleotide ribosomal RNA is filed under the name uncultured bacterium. RNAcentral's name for it is "partial 16S ribosomal RNA". It matches the Rfam family "Bacterial small subunit ribosomal RNA", at positions 509 to 807 of the family's 1533-position model. The record is from RNAcentral.